RNAcentral lists this transfer RNA (67 nucleotides) under Nimbapanchax petersi. Its description in RNAcentral is "tRNA-Cys". It matches the Rfam family "tRNA". Rfam says of the family: Transfer RNA (tRNA) molecules are approximately 80 nucleotides in length. The record is from RNAcentral. Lineage: Eukaryota; Metazoa; Chordata; Actinopteri; Cyprinodontiformes; Nothobranchiidae.
AGCCCUGAGGUGUCAUACAUAUUAGAUUGCAAAUCCAAAGUCGUAGGUUUACCGCCUACCGGGGCUU